Molecule: ribosomal RNA, 245 nt
Filed under: uncultured bacterium
Lineage: Bacteria
Description: partial 16S ribosomal RNA
Rfam family: Bacterial small subunit ribosomal RNA
Source: RNAcentral
GACGAACCGUACUAACGUUAUUCGGAAUCACUGGGCUUAAAGGGUGCGUAGGCGGCUCAGAAAGUUGGGUGUGAAAUCCCUCGGCUCAACCGAGGAAUUGCGCCCAAAACUACUGGGCUUGAGGGAGACAGAGGUGAGCGGAACUUAGGGUGGAGCGGUGAAAUGCGUUGAUAUCCUAAGGAACACCAGGAGCGAAAGCGGCUCACUGGGUCUCUUCUGACGCUGAGGCACGAAAGCUAGGGGAG